GAAUGAUGGUAGAGAAGCUGCUGUCCUCUUAGUCCAUGUACACAAGUUCUGGAAGGGAUGCAAGCCAGUGAUGCCUAGCGACAAGAUCUGUCUCCUUGGGUCCUUCCCUCUGCCGUGACCCAUAUAUAACUGGGAGACCUGGAUUACUCUAACACCUUCACUAGACGCCUGAAAAUGAAGCCAACACAUGAAAGUGCCUUGCACCCUGAUCAAAC
RNAcentral lists this long non-coding RNA (215 nucleotides) under Cavia porcellus (domestic guinea pig). RNAcentral describes it as "lncRNA (ENSCPOG00000031476.1)". The record is from RNAcentral. Lineage: Eukaryota; Metazoa; Chordata; Mammalia; Rodentia; Caviidae.